This 253-nucleotide ribosomal RNA is filed under the name uncultured bacterium. RNAcentral describes it as "partial 16S ribosomal RNA". It matches the Rfam family "Bacterial small subunit ribosomal RNA", at positions 524 to 776 of the family's 1533-position model. The record is from RNAcentral.
UACGUAGGGCGCAAGCGUUAUCCGGACUUAUUGGGCGUAAAGAGCUCGUAGGCGGUUUGUCGCGUCUGCCGUGAAAGUCCGGGGCUCAACUCCGGAUCUGCGGUGGGUACGGGCAGACUAGAGUGAUGUAGGGGAGACUGGAAUUCCUGGUGUAGCGGUGAAAUGCGCAGAUAUCAGGAGGAACACCGAUGGCGAAGGCAGCCCCCUGGGCUAAGACUGACGCUGAGGCACGAAAGCGUGGGGAGCAAACAGG